This is a long non-coding RNA of Dermochelys coriacea (leatherback sea turtle), 730 nucleotides long. RefSeq lists it as uncharacterized. The record is from RefSeq and is a predicted model, not a curated record. The transcript is spliced from 2 exons. Lineage: Eukaryota; Metazoa; Chordata; Testudines; Dermochelyidae.
AAAAGUUAGUGACUGUGUAGUCACAUAAAGCCUCAAAAAUGUAAACCAUAUGUACCCAACUCAGCAAUAUCAGUAACUCUACAGAAACUCUGGAACGAUGGCUCUGACAGAUGUGACCUCCCCAUUCAUCUCAGGAAAAUAUUAACUGUCAAUGGAUAUCUGUGUUAAAAUUGCCAUUUAAACUAAUUGCAUUGCUCCUGUAAGAACGGAGAGGAACACAGAUCUGCAGUUCACCGUGAGUAACAUCUCACAGUGCUAAAAAAAAUGGUGGUAUUUGAAAGAUAUCACCACUUCUUUCCCCUUAAUUAAAAGGCACCAUGCCAAAGAAGCCCAAUGGAGCCUCGGAGCAUAUUCAAGUCCUAGUAAGGGGAAGCCAAACUUAGUGGAGCUCAUAGCAUCUACACGAUCAACUGUAAAAGAGCAGCUUACAUGGGUGAAGUUUAUUUUGCAGGCAGAGCUGCCAAGAGCAUUACUAUUUUCCUCCUCUCCCCCUUCCAGAUGCAUGUAUAGAUUGAAAGAGUGGCAGCAAGAAAAAAGUGAAUAUAAAAUAAAAACACUACUUCCAUUACUUUUCAUCAUAUUUAAUUCAAUUUACGUUUAUCCAACUGAGUUUUUUUUCAGUGUAGUGCAGUUCAGUGCUGCACAAGCCAAGGAGUUCUGCCACAUAAUUUAAGACUGAAUUGCUAUAGAGGACCUUGGAAAGAGGACAUGAAGGUGAGAGUUAGGACUU